UAACCACAAAGGUGGAAGUGAGGGGAAGGCUGCCCCACACCACCUCGCCCCCACCGCUGGGGAAGGGUUACCAUGACAACCAACCUGGCCAGCAAUCAGAGAGGAUGGGGCUACUGCUGGUCGCCCUUUCUCUCAGAGUAAAAUAAUUGUCCAGGAGAGUGGUGUUUGGGUGUGGAAGGGCACGAGUGGGCGCGCUUCGAAGCCGAGAAAGCCCGCUGGGAGGCCGAGCGCGCCGAGUUACAGGCUCAGGUGGCCUUCCUUCAGGGAGAAAGGAAAGGGCAGGAGAAUCUAAAGACGGACCUGGUGCGGCGGAUCAAGAUGCUAGAGUAUGCGCUGAAGCAGGAAAGGGCCAAAUAUCAUAAACUGAAGUUUGGGACAGACCUGAACCAGGGGGAGAAGAAAGCAGAUGUGUCAGAACAAGUCUCCAAUGGCCCCGUGGAAUCGGUCACCCUGGAGAACAGCCCGUUGGUGUGGAAGGAGGGGCGGCAGCUUCUCCGACAUUUCUGCUCUGUCGCCCAGGCUGCAGUGCAGUGGCACGAUCUCAGCUCACUGCAACCUCUGCCU
This 564-nucleotide small RNA is filed under the name Pongo abelii (Sumatran orangutan). RNAcentral's name for it is "processed transcript". The record is from RNAcentral. Lineage: Eukaryota; Metazoa; Chordata; Mammalia; Primates; Hominidae.